AUACCCCUGUAGUCCUAGCCGUAAACGAUGGAUACUAGGCGUAGCUCGUAUCGACCCGAGCUGUGCCGGAGCUAACGCGUUAAGUAUCCCGCCUGGGGAGUACGCAGGCAACUGUGAAACUCAAAGGAAUUGACGGGGGCCCGCACAAGCGGUGGAGUAUGUGGUUUAAUUCGAUGCAACGCGAAGAACCUUACCAAGGCUUGACAUGUCACGAAUCCUGUAGAAAUAUAGGAGUGCCUUAGGGAGCGUGAACACAGGUGGUGCAUGGCUGUCGUCAGCUCGUGUCGUGAGAUGUUGGGUUAAGUCCCGCAACGAGCGCAACCCUCGUUUUUAGUUGCCAGCAUUAAGAUGGGCACUCUAGAGAGACUGCCGGUGACAAACCGGAGGAAGGUGGGGAUGACGUCAAGUCAGCAUGCCCCUUACGUCUUGGGCUACACACGUACUACAAUGCUACGGACAAAGGGCAGCUACACAGCGAUGUGAUGCGAAUCUCAUAAACCGUAGCUCAGUUCAGAUCGAAGGCUGCAACUCGCCUUCGUGAAGGAGGAAUCGCUAGUAAUUGCAGGUCAGCAUACUGCAGUGAAUUCGUUCCCGGGCCUUGUACACACCGCCCGUCACACCAUGGAAGUUGGUCACGCCCGAAGUCGUUACCCCAACUUAUUGGAGGGGGAUGCCUAAGGUAGGACUGAUGACUGGGGUGAAGUCGUAACAAGGUAGCCGUACCGGAAGGUGUGGCUGGAUCACCUCCUUUUAGGGAGACCUAAUCCAUUUAGAAAUCGAAAGCAGUGAAAAUUGUGGGUAGAAACUUAAUUGGUCUAACCUAGGUCGGUCGCAGACUUGAAGUAAAGCUUUCAAACUAUGAUUUGGUUCGAUAAGGGCUAUUAGCUCAGGUGGUUAGAGUGCACCCCUGAUAAGGGUGAGGUCCCUGGUUCGAGUCCAGGAUGGCCCACCUGAAGGAAUUCAAAAAUCAAAAGUCAAAAGUCAAAAUUAAAUAUUUUUGAAGCAUGACUAGAAAUUUUGAGUUCUUUUUGGGGGUUUAGCUCAGUUGGUAGAGCGCCUGCUUUGCAAGCAGGAUGUCAGCGGUUCGAGUCCGCUAACCUCCACAUUGGAAAAAAGACAGCACCUAAUUGGAAAAGUUAGACUGCUGGAUGAAAUUCCAGCCAGAACCUUGAAAACUGCAUAAGAGAACGAGAAAAAGCAGGCAGACACAGACAUUUAAAUGGAUGUGAAAGCAAAGAAAAAUUGUGGUCAAGCUAAUAAGGGCUAAUGGUGGAUACCUWGGCACACAGAGGCGADG
RNAcentral lists this small RNA (1297 nucleotides) under uncultured Anabaena sp. RNAcentral's name for it is "bacterial SSU rRNA". The stretch from base 1 to 751 matches the Rfam family "Bacterial small subunit ribosomal RNA", at positions 782 to 1533 of the family's 1533-position model. The record is from RNAcentral. Lineage: Bacteria; Bacillati; Cyanobacteriota; Cyanophyceae; Nostocales; Nostocaceae.